Long non-coding RNA from Leucoraja erinaceus (little skate), 1571 nucleotides. RefSeq lists it as uncharacterized. The record is from RefSeq and is a predicted model, not a curated record. The transcript has 3 exons. Lineage: Eukaryota; Metazoa; Chordata; Chondrichthyes; Rajiformes; Rajidae.
GAGAGAAUUGCUGAACUCGACCCACUUCAUCCUGAUUUGCCUUUGCCUAAUUUUCGUAAUCAAUUUUCGGCUCUUCAGAUGUUGCUCACUCUUCCAAAAUAGAGAACAGGAGGCAGAAGGCAAAGGGAAGCCAGAACAGAAGACAAAAGAGAUGCCCGCAUACAAUAGCACAGACCUUACAUCUCUGCACUGUUAUUGCUAAGGUUGAUGAACGAUAUCCUGGUGAAUGAGUUCAGCUCGAAGCCAUCACAUGUUUUCUCUCUUGAAUCUUUUUGCGGUCUGGGCUUGCUGUUCCUUUGUCUGACAAUCAGGAAGCCCUUACCCCAAAAAGUAUUUGCGUGGGAUACAGACUGCAGUGGGGCAUCAGUCAACAGAACCAGCAACUCCCAAGCUGCCUUCACAGGAGAGGGUGCAGAAGAAGUGGAAUGCUGCUGCCAAUCCAAGCAAAACAAAAAUGCUCCCGUUCCAGAAAUAACAUGUUCCCUUUUGAGGGUAAGGCAGAUAUUUGGAAGUAAAAUAAUGGGGGGAGAUGAAGAAUAAGAUGAGAUGAUAAAUGAGUGAUUGGUUUCAUGGGAAGAGAGACAAAGAUGUUAUGGUCUUUGGUGUCAAUGUAAGCACUAUUGUGAGUUCUUAUGCAUUGCUAGAAGGUCAGGCCUGGCCAUGAAGAGGUUGCUCCUCAUCAAUGGGGUUUAUCACUAAGGGUAUCUCAUUACUAGGAAAACGUUUGAUUAAAUACUAAGGACCAAAGUUAAAAUGUUAAUUAGAAUCCAAUCAGAUACGAUGAACCCUUUUAUUAUUCACCCUUGCAUAAGGUACAUACAAUGUAGAAAAACACUGAAUUCCAAAUGUUACUGAGAGGCACACAGCAGAAAUGAAUAUAGACAGUUAUGAUGGAACAUGGGUGCAGGAGAAAGGCAUUAUGCUUCUUGGGCCUUUUCCGUCAGAUAGAUCAUAGUUGAUCUGCAUUUUAACUUCACCUGCCAUUUUAGUAUAAACUCCCACAAUACUCCUGUCAAAAAAAUAUCACUUGAUCUUGGCUUUGAUGCUUUUAAACAUGUCCAAGACACAACAGUUUUCUUAGGGGGAUAGUUCCAUUAAUCUUACGUGCAGAAGUGCUUCUUGACAACAUGGAAUGGUUGUAUACUUGUGACACUAUAACCAACCCCUCCCCUAUCAAAGAUUCUCCCGUGACUCAAAAUAUUUCUAUUUACUCUGUAAUAUUUAGCUUUUAUCCUUUACCCUUUAAAUAAUUUAAAUACCUCAACUACAUCACCUCUCCGGGAAAUGCAUCCUUGUCCAUGCAACUAUCCUCCUAAUUUAUUAAUUUUUGGAUGAAUUGUUAUUCUGGAGAAUGUGUGCCAAUCUUUUCCAAGACGCAUGGACCCUUAUUGAAAAAUGACUCGACAAAGGGGAGAUUUUAGGAAAAAGUUCUUGGUGUACCCUGUCAUUAUUGAGGAUUCCAGGAAUUUCCAACCUAUCUCCUGAAGCGUUAACAAAUAAAAUAUUUUAAGAAUUUUAUUUAAAAAAAAUUUAAAAAUAAAAAUAAUAAUUUAAAAAAAAAAGAAAUUUAA